GUGGGGUAACGGCCCACCAAGGCGACGAUCAGUAGCCGGACUGAGAGGUUGACCGGCCACAUUGGGACUGAGACACGGCCCAGACUCCUACGGGAGGCAGCAGUGGGGAAUUUUGGACAAUGGGGGCAACCCUGAUCCAGCCAUGCCGCGUGCGGGAUGAAGGCCUUCGGGUUGUAAACUUCUUUUAACAGGGAAGAGAAGAAGACGGUACCUGUUGAAUAAGCCACGGCUAACUAC
This 237-nucleotide ribosomal RNA is filed under the name uncultured bacterium. RNAcentral describes it as "partial 16S ribosomal RNA". It matches the Rfam family "Bacterial small subunit ribosomal RNA", at positions 252 to 504 of the family's 1533-position model. The record is from RNAcentral.